RNAcentral lists this ribosomal RNA (250 nucleotides) under uncultured bacterium. RNAcentral describes it as "partial 16S ribosomal RNA". It matches the Rfam family "Bacterial small subunit ribosomal RNA", at positions 809 to 1058 of the family's 1533-position model. The record is from RNAcentral.
AUGUCAACUAGUUGUCGGGUCUUCAUUGACUUGGUAACGUAGCUAACGCGUGAAGUUGACGCCUGGGGAGUACGGUCGCAAGAUUAAAACUCAAAGGAAUUGACGGGGACCCGCACAAGCGGUGGAUGAUGUGGAUUAAUUCGAUGCAACGCGAAAAACCUUACCUACCCUUGACAUGUAUGGAAUCCUGCUGAGAGGUGGGAGUGCCCGAAAGGGAGCCAUAACACAGGUGCUGCAUGGCUGUCGUCAG